GCAUGUCAAGACAAGCUGGCGGUGGCAUCUGUUACUCUAUUGAUUGGCAGUGCUUGUUCAAAAGCUUUGGCCAGUUGAGUGGGUGUCUCCUUUCUCCUCACCUAUCUACAUGUGUUCCCCUAAGGCUACAUUCCAGCUGAAGACAUAGGAGAUUUGAAAUUGAAGGAGUAGCAUUCUUCAAUGCCAGGACAUUAUAAGCAAACUUUCUAUCAUUACUGAUGGAAGAACCAAACAGAGGUCAGUUUAGAGAGGCUAGAAGGGACUUCUGUCCAGAAGGAAAAAAUAUCAUUUAGUAAAUGCACUAAAG
This 307-nucleotide small RNA is filed under the name Ovis aries (sheep). Its description in RNAcentral is "7SK RNA (ENSOARG00000021590.1)". The stretch from base 3 to 105 matches the Rfam family "7SK RNA", at positions 3 to 106 of the family's 331-position model. Lineage: Eukaryota; Metazoa; Chordata; Mammalia; Artiodactyla; Bovidae. The record is from RNAcentral.